UACGUAGGGGGCGAGCGUUGUCCGGAAUUACUGGGCGUAAAGGGCGUGUAGGCGGCUGAGUAAGUCAGGUGUGAAAGGCCACGGCUUAACCGUGGUACUGCACAUGAAACUGCUCAGCUUGAGUGCAGGAGAGGGAAGUGGAAUUCCUAGUGUAGCGGUGAAAUGCGUAGAUAUUAGGAGGAACACCAGUGGCGAAGGCGACUUUCUGGACUGUAACUGACGCUGAGGCGCGAAAGCGUGGGGAGCAAACAGGAUUAGAUACCCCCGUAGUCC
RNAcentral lists this ribosomal RNA (273 nucleotides) under uncultured bacterium. RNAcentral describes it as "partial 16S ribosomal RNA". It matches the Rfam family "Bacterial small subunit ribosomal RNA", at positions 524 to 796 of the family's 1533-position model. The record is from RNAcentral.